ACGGCCAACAAGCGUGAAAGCGUAGCAUCUUCUUAUCAGCUUCUUAAAACCUGAUAUCUUCUUAAUACCUGAUAGGGGUGGUAUUUGAACCUAAGAUAUAUAACUAAUUUUUGCAAGUUGGCAGAGCACUUAAAGCAUGCUUCACCUCCGCCGCGGGUUGUCCCGGUAUUCCACUAUCUUCGUGAUCGGCCCACGUAUG
Molecule: small nuclear RNA, 199 nt
Organism: Dermacentor albipictus
Lineage: Eukaryota; Metazoa; Arthropoda; Arachnida; Ixodida; Ixodidae
Product: U2 spliceosomal RNA
Source: RefSeq, a predicted model, not a curated record